GGGCCGAUGGUCCAGUUGGUUAAGACGCCGCCUUGACGAACCGCAAAUCGCAGGUUCGAGUCCUGCUCGGCCCA
This 74-nucleotide transfer RNA is filed under the name Candidatus Micrarchaeota archaeon RBG_16_49_10. Its description in RNAcentral is "tRNA-Val". It matches the Rfam family "tRNA". From Rfam's summary of the family: Transfer RNA (tRNA) molecules are approximately 80 nucleotides in length. Their secondary structure includes four short double-helical elements and three loops (D, anti-codon, and T loops). Further hydrogen bonds mediate the characteristic L-shaped molecular structure. tRNAs have two regions of fundamental functional importance: the anti-codon, which is responsible for specific mRNA codon recognition, and the 3' end, to which the tRNAs corresponding amino acid is attached (by aminoacyl-tRNA synthetases). tRNAs cope with the degeneracy of the genetic code in two manners: having more than one tRNA (with a specific anti-codon) for a particular amino acid; and 'wobble' base-pairing, i.e. permitting non-standard base-pairing at the 3rd anti-codon position. The record is from RNAcentral. Lineage: Archaea; Nanobdellati; Microcaldota.